UUACGGGAGGCAGCAGUGAGGGAUCUUCGGCAAUGGGGGCAACCCUGACCGAGCAACGCCGCGUGCGGGAGGACGCCUUUCGGGGUGUAAACCGCUUUUCUGGGGGACGAGGCUAGUACGGACGGUACCCCAGGAAGAAGUCUCGGCUAACUACGUGCCAGCAGCCGCGGUAAUACGUAGGAGACGAGCGUUGUCCGGAGUUACUGGGCGUAAAGGGUGCGCAGGUGGCGGCGCGCGUGGGGGGUGAAAUCGCCCGGCUUAACUGGGCGGGGGCCUUCCAGACGGCGUGGCUUGAGCAGCGGAGGGGGACGUGGAAUUCCGGGUGGAGCGGUGAAAUGCGUAGAGAUCCGGAGGAACACCGACGGCGCAGGCAGCGUCCUGGCCGCUUGCUGACACUGAGGCACGAAAGCUGGGGGAGCAAACAGGAUUAGAUACCCGUGUAGUCCC
This 447-nucleotide ribosomal RNA is filed under the name uncultured bacterium. Its description in RNAcentral is "bacterial SSU rRNA". It matches the Rfam family "Bacterial small subunit ribosomal RNA", at positions 339 to 797 of the family's 1533-position model. The record is from RNAcentral.